CUGGCUCAGGAUUAACGCUGGCGGCGUGCCUAAUACAUGCAAGUCGAAUGGUAGUAGCAAUACAAACCAUGGCGAACGGGUGAGUAACACGUAGGCAACCUGACUUUAAGACGAGGAUAACCGUUGGAAACGACGGAUAAUACUGGAUAGGACAUCAGAAAGGGCAUCCUUAGAUGUUUAAAGGUUAUUAUGCCACUUAGAGAGGGGCCUGCGGCGCAUUAGCUAGUUGGUGAGAUAACAGCCCACCAAGGCGAUGAUGCGUAGCCGGACUGAGAGGUUGAACGGCCACAAUGGAACUGAGAACGGUCCAUACUCCUACGGGAGGCAGCAGUAGGGAAUUUUCGGCAAUGGGCGCAAGCCUGACCGAGCAACGCCGCGUGAACGAAGAAGUUAUUCGUAAUGUAAAGUUCUUUUAUCUGGGAAGAAAAAACAAAUUGACGGUACCAGAUGAAUAAGCUCCGGCUAACUACGUGCCAGCCGCAGC
Molecule: ribosomal RNA, 484 nt
Filed under: uncultured bacterium
Lineage: Bacteria
Description: bacterial SSU rRNA
Rfam family: Bacterial small subunit ribosomal RNA
Source: RNAcentral